Molecule: small RNA, 149 nt
Filed under: human gut metagenome
Description: M-box riboswitch (ykoK leader)
Rfam family: M-box riboswitch aptamer (ykoK leader)
About the family: M-box riboswitch, also know as ykoK leader is described as a metaloregulatory RNA that sense divalent metals and function as a genetic control element of genes related to divalent metal transport in bacteria. It was first reported upstream of the B.subtilis ykoK gene and genes with related functions in other bacteria. Phylogenetic analysis of the distribution of M-box RNAs across bacterial genomes revealed that M-box riboswitches are most often employed for the regulation of Mg2+ transporter genes
Source: RNAcentral
GAUCCGGUAGGUAAGGCUACCACAGGGAUACGGAUCGCUGCCGCGGAGCCGUGGAGACACGGUGAGAGGGUCUGAACAGGUCAUGUCGAAAAACAAGGCGUGACAUAAUGCGAUUUCACUGCCCUGUGAUGCUAAAGCUUGAACGGUGG